Long non-coding RNA from Cyprinodon tularosa, 616 nucleotides. RefSeq lists it as uncharacterized. The record is from RefSeq and is a predicted model, not a curated record. Lineage: Eukaryota; Metazoa; Chordata; Actinopteri; Cyprinodontiformes; Cyprinodontidae. The transcript is spliced from 2 exons.
UAGGGAACCUGUGGCUGAUUCACAACACUCAGCAGGCGAUCACCAAUGUCCGUUUUUCUUUUGCCGCUUAUCCUGAUGCAGUUUGUUAUGAUGUGGUCCAGUCCCUGGGGCUACGGGACCAUAAAGGCCUUUCUGCUGUGGUCCAUGCACACUGGUCUGAGGUGGAUGCAGCUGAACAUCGCCUGUAUUGCAACAGAGACAUCAGUGGGUUGGGUGUCUGCUCCGUGCAUUGCAGCAGGUCGCAUUUGCCAUGAGCUCGGAUGGUAGAUUAAAAUGCCUUUGGUAUUCUGGUGUCAAGGUGCAAAAAACUUCAUCACAAGAUAAACCAUCUCCCUCAGAAUGUGGACUCCAUGGUGAUGGCAGCUUGCCUCCUCCAGAACUUCUCGCUGAGUAGAAGAGAGAACCAGCAGCUCCGUGACGAGGCCCAGGAGGGUGGACGUAGGAUGCCGCCUGUUGGCAAUAUGGCUGGACGACGCACAUUAGCUGAAGCCAGAGCUGCCAGCACCUACUUCAAUUCCCCAGGAGGGAGUGUGCCAUAGCAAAAUAGAAUGCUUUGAAACCUGCAUCCUGCUAUGAAUGCAGAAGGGAAUAAAACACAUUUUUUAUGUUGCAUGCA